Molecule: ribosomal RNA, 307 nt
Filed under: Helictopleurus viridiflavus
Lineage: Eukaryota; Metazoa; Arthropoda; Insecta; Coleoptera; Scarabaeidae
Description: eukaryotic LSU rRNA
Rfam family: Eukaryotic large subunit ribosomal RNA
Source: RNAcentral
CAAGGAGUCUAGCAUGUGCGCGAGUCAUUGGGACUAUAAUAAACCUAAAGGCGCAAUGAAAGUAAAAGUCCGCCUUGUGCAGACUUAGGGAGGAUGGGACCGUUCUCGGACGGACCUCGCACUCCCGGGGCGUCUCGUUCUCAUCGCGAGAAGAGGCGCACCUAGAGCGUACACGCUGGGACCCGAAAGAUGGUGAACUAUGCCUGGUCAGGACGAAGUCAGGGGAAACCCUGAUGGAGGUCCGUAGCGAUUCUGACGUGCAAAUCGAUCGUCGGAACUGGGUAUAGGGGCGAAAGACUAAUCGAAC